RNAcentral lists this ribosomal RNA (446 nucleotides) under uncultured bacterium. Its description in RNAcentral is "partial 16S ribosomal RNA". It matches the Rfam family "Bacterial small subunit ribosomal RNA", at positions 338 to 795 of the family's 1533-position model. The record is from RNAcentral.
CCUACGGGGUGCAGCAGUCGAGAAUCAUUCACAAUGGGGGAAACCCUGAUGGUGCGACGCCGCGUGGGGGAAUGAAGGUCUUCGGAUUGUAAACCCCUGUCAUGUGGGAGCAAAUGAAAAAGAUAGUACCACAAGAGGAAGAGACGGCUAACUCUGUGCCAGCAGUCGCGGUAAUACAGAGGUCUCAAGCGUUGUUCGGAAUCACUGGGCGUAAAGCGUGCGUAGGCUGUUUCGUAAGUCGUGUGUGAAAGGCGAGGGCUCAACCCGCGGACGGCACAUGAUACUGCGAGACUAGAGUAAUGGAGGGGGAACCGGAAUUCUCGGUGUAGCAGUGAAAUGCGUAGAUAUCGAGAGGAACACUCGUGGUGAAGGCGGGUUCCUGGACAUUAACUGACGCUGAGGCACGAAGGCCAGGGGAGCGAAAGGGAUUAGAUACCCCAGUAGUC